This 718-nucleotide ribosomal RNA is filed under the name Vibrio sp. Its description in RNAcentral is "bacterial SSU rRNA". It matches the Rfam family "Bacterial small subunit ribosomal RNA", at positions 59 to 757 of the family's 1533-position model. Lineage: Bacteria; Pseudomonadati; Pseudomonadota; Gammaproteobacteria; Vibrionales; Vibrionaceae. The record is from RNAcentral.
CAGUCGAGCGGAACGAGUUAUCUGAACCUUCGGGGAACGAUAACGGCGUCGAGCGGCGGACGGGUGAGUAAUGCCUAGGAAAUUGCCCUGAUGUGGGGGAUAACCAUUGGAAACGAUGGCUAAUACCGCAUGAUGCCUACGGGCCAAAGAGGGGGACCUUCGGGCCUCUCGCGUCAGGAUAUGCCUAGGUGGGAUUAGCUAGUUGGUGAGGUAAGGGCUCACCAAGGCGACGAUCCCUAGCUGGUCUGAGAGGAUGAUCAGCCACACUGGAACUGAGACACGGUCCAGACUCCUACGGGAGGCAGCAGUGGGGAAUAUUGCACAAUGGGCGCAAGCCUGAUGCAGCCAUGCCGCGUGUGUGAAGAAGGCCUUCGGGUUGUAAAGCACUUUCAGUCGUGAGGAAGGUAGUGUAGUUAAUAGCUGCAUUAUUUGACGUUAGCGACAGAAGAAGCACCGGCUAACUCCGUGCCAGCAGCCGCGGUAAUACGGAGGGUGCGAGCGUUAAUCGGAAUUACUGGGCGUAAAGCGCAUGCAGGUGGUUUGUUAAGUCAGAUGUGAAAGCCCGGGGCUCAACCUCGGAAUUGCAUUUGAAACUGGCAGACUAGAGUACUGUAGAGGGGGGUAGAAUUUCAGGUGUAGCGGUGAAAUGCGUAGAGAUCUGAAGGAAUACCGGUGGCGAACGCGGCCCCCUGGACAGAUACUGACACUCAGAUGCGAA